RNAcentral lists this ribosomal RNA (518 nucleotides) under uncultured bacterium. Its description in RNAcentral is "bacterial SSU rRNA". It matches the Rfam family "Archaeal small subunit ribosomal RNA", at positions 345 to 867 of the family's 1478-position model. The record is from RNAcentral.
AAACUUCACACUGGGGGAAACCCCGAUGAGGGAAAUCCUAGUGCUAGGACAUUUGUUCUAGCUUUUCUCAAGCGUAGAUAACUUGAGGAAUAAGGGCUGGGUAAGACGGGUGCCAGCCGCCGCGGUAAUACCUGCAGCCCAAGUGGUGGUCGAUUUUAUUGAGUCUAAAACGUUCGUAGCCGGUUUGAUAAAUCUUUGGGUAAAUCGGGAGGCUUAACUUUCCGACUUCCGAAGAGACUGUCGAACUUGGGACCGGGAGAGGCUAGAGGUACUUCUGGGGUAGGGGUAAAAUCCUGUAAUCCUAGAAGGACCACCGGUGGCGAAGGCGUCUAGCUAGAACGGAUCCGACGGUGAGGGACGAAGCCCUGGGUCGCAAACGGGAUUAGAUACCCCGGUAGUCCAGGGUGUAAACGCUGCAGACUUGGUGUUGGAGGCCAUCGGUGGCAUUCAGUGCCGGAGAGAAGUUGUUAAGUCUGCUACUUGGGGAGUAGUCCGCAAGGAUGAAACUUAAGGAAUUG